RNAcentral lists this ribosomal RNA (378 nucleotides) under uncultured organism. Its description in RNAcentral is "partial 16S ribosomal RNA". It matches the Rfam family "Bacterial small subunit ribosomal RNA", at positions 527 to 897 of the family's 1533-position model. The record is from RNAcentral.
GUAGGUGGCAAGCGUUGUCCGGAAUUAUUGGGCGUAAAGCGCGCGCAGGUGGUUCUUUAAGUCUGAUGUGAAAGCCCCCCCGGGCUCAACCGGGGGAGGGGUCAUUGGAAACUGGGGAACUUGAGUGCAGGAGAGGAAAGUGGAAUUCCACGUGUAGCGGUGAAAUGCGUAGAUAUGUGGAGGAACACCAGUGGCGAAGGCGACUUUCUGGCCUGUAGCUGACACUGAGGCGCGAAAGCGUGGGGAGCAAACAGGAUUAGAUACCCUGGUAGUCCACGCCGUAAACGAUGAGUGCUAAGUGUUGGGGGGUUUCCGCCCCUCAGUGCUGCAGCUAACGCAUUAAGCACUCCGCCUGGGGAGUACGGUCGCAAAGACUGA